This is a long non-coding RNA of Heterocephalus glaber (naked mole-rat), 574 nucleotides long. RefSeq lists it as uncharacterized. The record is from RefSeq and is a predicted model, not a curated record. Lineage: Eukaryota; Metazoa; Chordata; Mammalia; Rodentia; Bathyergidae.
ACAAAACAAAAAGUUUCCCAGCAAAGUUCUCUGCUGCAGGCUGGUCAUCAGUCUUUGAGUGACCAGACAUGAGAUCCGUGGUGCGUAUGAGAGCAUCACAACCACAGUGAGUCUGAGGAAGCCCUCGUCUAAGACCAUGAGAGAGCCAGUGUUGAACUUUCCAUCUUCCUGCCUCAGCCUGGUGGGAUUAUUGGUGUGCACCACCAUGGCCAGCAUUCACUUGGCCAUCUCUUCAUUCUGAGACUGGGAUUCACUUCACAAGGUCCACCUCCAAGAAUUAGAAGACCAUGGUAAAUGCACUAAGAAUGAAAAUCACAAGAGCAAGCACACAAGAAGAAAAUUUCAGAGCAUAUUAGAAAAGAAAGAAGCCCAUUGAGCUAUAAACCAGUGCCUGCCACGUUGCUGGAAGGAUUUCAAGAAAUAUCAUCCCUGGGCCUCACUCCAGUUUAACUGAAAAUGCAUUUCUGAGGGACACUGAGGAAGCCACAAGAGUGCAACAAAUUAGAAGACACUCACAAAAGAGGACUUCCAGAACUGCUUCAGAAAGUGACAAGAAAGAUGGGAUAAGUGUACU